GUGGGGAAUAUUGGACAAUGGGCGAAAGCCUGAUCCAGCCAUGCCGCGUGUGUGAAGAAGGCCUUUUGGUUGUAAAGCACUUUAAGCGAGGAGGAGGCUACCGAGAUUAAUACUCUAGGAUAGUGGACGUUACUCGCAGAAUAAGCACCGGCUAACUCUGUGCCAGCAGCCGCGGUAAUACAGAGGGUGCGAGCGUUAAUCGGAUUUACUGGGCGUAAAGCGUGCGUAGGCGGCUUCUUAAGUCGGAUGUGAAAUCCCUGAGCUUAACUUAGGAAUUGCAUUCGAUACUGGGAAGCUAGAGUAUGGGAGAGGAUGGUAGAAUUCCAGGUGUAGCGGUGAAAUGCGUAGAGAUCUGGAGGAAUACCGAUGGCGAAGGCAGCCAUCUGGCCUAAUACUGACGCUGAGGUACGAAAGCAUGGGGAGCAAACAGGAUUAGAUACCCGUGUAGUCC
RNAcentral lists this ribosomal RNA (451 nucleotides) under uncultured bacterium. RNAcentral's name for it is "partial 16S ribosomal RNA". It matches the Rfam family "Bacterial small subunit ribosomal RNA", at positions 354 to 796 of the family's 1533-position model. The record is from RNAcentral.